AGAGUUUGAUCCUGGUCAGAACGAACGCUGGCGGCAGGCCUAGCACAUGCAAGUCGAGCGGAUGAAGGGAGCUUGCUCCUGGAUUCAGCGGCGGACGGGUGAGUAAUGCCUAGGAAUCUGCCUGGUAGUGGGGGAUAACGUCCGGAAACGGGCGCUAAUACCGCAUACGUCCUGAGGGAGAAAGUGGGGGAUCUUCGGACCUCACGCUAUCAGAUGAGCCUAGGUCGGAUUAGCUAGUUGGUGGGGUAAAGGCCUACCAAGGCGACGAUCCGUAACUGGUCUGAGAGGAUGAUCAGUCACACUGGAACUGAGACACGGUCCAGACUCCUACGGGAGGCAGCAGUGGGGAAUAUUGGACAAUGGGCGAAAGCCUGAUCCAGCCAUGCCGCGUGUGUGAAGAAGGUCUUCGGAUUGUAAAGCACUUUAAGUUGGGAGGAAGGGCAGUAAGUUAAUACCUUGCUGUUUUGACGUUACCAACAGAAUAAGCACCGGCUAACUUCGUGCCAGCAGCCGCGGUAAUACGAAGGGUGCAAGCGUUAAUCGGAAUUACUGAGCGUAAAGCGCGCGUAGGUGGUUCAGCAAGUUGGAUGUGAAAUCCCCGGGCUCAACCUGGGAACUGCAUCCAAAACUACUGAGCUAGAGUACGGUAGAGGGUGGUGGAAUUUCCUGUGUAGCGGUGAAAUGCGUAGAUAUAGGAAGGAACACCAGUGGCGAAGGCGACCACCUGGACUGAUACUGACACUGAGGUGCGAAAGCGUGGAGAGCAAACAGGAUUAGAUACCCUGGUAGUCCACGCCGUAAACGAUGUCGACUAGCCGUUGGGAUCCUUGAGAUCUUAGUGGCGCAGCUAACGCGAUAAGUCGACCGCCUGGGGAGUACGGCCGCAAGGUUAAAACUCAAAUGAAUUGACGGGGGCCCGCACAAGCGGUGGAGCAUGUGGUUUAAUUCGAAGCAACGCGAAGAACCUUACCUGGCCUUGACUUGCUGAGAACUUUCCAGAGAUGGAUUGGUGCCUUCGGGAACUCAGACACAGGUGCUGCAUGGCUGUCGUCAGCUCGUGUCGUGAGAUGUUGGGUUAAGUCCCGUAACGAGCGCAACCCUUGUCCUUAGUUACCAGCACCUCGGGUGGGCACUCUAAGGAGACUGCCGGUGACAAACCGGAGGAAGGUGGGGAUGACGUCAAGUCAUCAUGGCCCUUACGGCCAGGGCUACACACGUGCUACAAUGGUCGGUACAAAGGGUUGCCAAGCCGCGAGGUGGAGCUAAUCCCAUAAAACCGAUCGUAGUCCGGAUCGCAGUCUGCAACUCGACUGCGUGAAGUCGGAAUCGCUAGUAAUCGUGAAUCGGAAUGUCACGGUGAAUACGUUCCCGGGCCUUGUACACACCGCCCGUCACACCAUGGGAGUGGGUUGCUCCAGAAGUAGCUAGUCUAACCGCAAGGGGGACGGUUACCACGGAGUGAUUCAUGACUGGGGUGAAGUCGUAACAAGGUAGCCGUAGG
Molecule: ribosomal RNA, 1501 nt
Filed under: Pseudomonas aeruginosa
Lineage: Bacteria; Pseudomonadati; Pseudomonadota; Gammaproteobacteria; Pseudomonadales; Pseudomonadaceae
Description: 16S ribosomal RNA
Rfam family: Bacterial small subunit ribosomal RNA
Source: RNAcentral